This 253-nucleotide ribosomal RNA is filed under the name uncultured bacterium. Its description in RNAcentral is "partial 16S ribosomal RNA". It matches the Rfam family "Bacterial small subunit ribosomal RNA", at positions 524 to 776 of the family's 1533-position model. The record is from RNAcentral.
UACAGAGGUCCCGAGCGUUGUUCGGAUUCAUUGGGCGUAAAGGGUGCGUAGGCGGCGGGGCAAGUCUGAUGUGAAAUCCCGGGGCUCAACCCCGGAACUGCAUUGGAUACUGCCUUGCUUGAGUACUGGAGAGGGAACUGGAAUUUACGGUGUAGCAGUGAAAUGCGUAGAGAUCGUAAGGAAGACCAGUGGCGAAGGCGGAUCUCUGGACAGUUCCUGACGCUGAGGCGCGAAGGCCAGGGGAGCAAACGGG